UAUCAUGAUGUGAUUGUGUA
Molecule: non-coding RNA, 20 nt
Filed under: Arabidopsis thaliana (thale cress)
Lineage: Eukaryota; Viridiplantae; Streptophyta; Magnoliopsida; Brassicales; Brassicaceae
Source: RNAcentral